RNAcentral lists this ribosomal RNA (30 nucleotides) under Trichoderma harzianum. RNAcentral's name for it is "partial 18S ribosomal RNA". Lineage: Eukaryota; Fungi; Ascomycota; Sordariomycetes; Hypocreales; Hypocreaceae. The record is from RNAcentral.
ACCUAGUAGCUGUAGGUAUUCAGGGACUUA